GAUGAACGCUGGCGGCGUGCCUAAUACAUGCAAGUCGAGCGAACAGAUGAGGAGCUUGCUCCUCUGACGUUAGCGGCGGACGGGUGAGUAACACGUGGAUAACCUACCUAUAAGACUGGGAUAACUUCGGGAAACCGGAGCUAAUACCGGAUAAUAUAUUGAACCGCAUGGUUCAAUAGUGAAAGACGGUUUUGCUGUCACUUAUAGAUGGAUCCGCGCCGCAUUAGCUAGUUGGUAAGGUAACGGCAUACCAAGGCAACGAUGCGUAGCCGACCUGAGAGGGUGGUCGGCCACACGGGAACAGAGACACGGUCCAGACUCCUACGGGAGGCAGCAGUAGGGAAUCUUCCGGAAAGGGCGAAAGCCUGACGGAGCAACGCCGCGUGAGUGAUGAAGGUGUUCGGAUCGUAAAACGCUGUUAGUAGGGAAGAACAAAUGUGUAAGUAACUAGGAACGUCUUGACGGUACCUAAUGAGAAAGCCACGGCUAACUACGUG
Molecule: ribosomal RNA, 497 nt
Filed under: uncultured bacterium
Lineage: Bacteria
Description: partial 16S ribosomal RNA
Rfam family: Bacterial small subunit ribosomal RNA
Source: RNAcentral